GAUGAACGCUGGCGGCGUGCCUAAUACAUGCAAGUCGAGCGAACAGAUGAGGAGCUUGCUCCUCUGACGUUAGCGGCGGACGGGUGAGUAACACGUGGAUAACCUACCUAUAAGACUGGGAUAACUUCGGGAAACCGGAGCUAAUACCGGAUAAUAUAUUGAACCGCAUGGUUCAAUAGUGAAAGACGGUUUUGUUGUCACUUAUAGAUGGAUCCGCGCCGCAUUAGCUAGUUGGUAAGGUAACGGCUUACCAAGGCAACGAUGCGUAGCCGACCUGAGAGGGUGAUCGGCCACACUGGAACUGAGACACGGUCCAGACUCCUACGGGAGGCAGCAGUAGGGAAUCUUCCGCAAUGGGCGAAAGCCUGACGGAGCAACGCCGCGUGAGUGAUGAAGGUCUUCGGAUCGUAAAACUCUGUUAUUAGGGAAGAACAAAUGUGUAAGUAACUAUGCACGUCUUGACGGUACCUAAUCAGAAAGCCACGGCUAACUACGUG
RNAcentral lists this ribosomal RNA (497 nucleotides) under uncultured bacterium. Its description in RNAcentral is "partial 16S ribosomal RNA". It matches the Rfam family "Bacterial small subunit ribosomal RNA", at positions 28 to 507 of the family's 1533-position model. The record is from RNAcentral.